RNAcentral lists this ribosomal RNA (457 nucleotides) under uncultured bacterium. RNAcentral's name for it is "bacterial SSU rRNA". It matches the Rfam family "Bacterial small subunit ribosomal RNA", at positions 983 to 1451 of the family's 1533-position model. The record is from RNAcentral.
GACAUGUAGGGUGGUAGCGAAGCGAAAGCCGAGCGGCCUUCGGGGAGCCUACACAGGUGCUGCAUGGCUGUCGUCAGCUCGUGCCGUGAGGUGUCGGGUUAGGUCCCGUAACGAGCGCAACCCUUACCCUUAGUUACAAGUGUCUAGGGGGACUGCCGGCGGUAAGCCGGAGGAAGGUGGGGAUGACGUCAAGUCAGCAUGGCCCAUAUGUCCAGGGCUACACACACGCUACAAUGGUUGGUACAAAGGGCAGCGAAACCGCGAGGUGGAGCGAAUCCCAACAAAGCCAAUCCUAGUUCGGAUUGCAGGCUGCAACUCGCCUGCAUGAAGCUGGAGUUGCUAGUAACCGCGCGUCAGCUAUAGUGCGGUGAAUACGUUCCCGGGGCUUGUACACACCGCCCGUCACGUCAUGGGAGUUGGUAACGCCUGAAGCUGGUAGCCUAGCUCGCAAGAGGGG